Long non-coding RNA from Bombyx mori (domestic silkworm), 444 nucleotides. RefSeq lists it as uncharacterized. The record is from RefSeq and is a predicted model, not a curated record. Lineage: Eukaryota; Metazoa; Arthropoda; Insecta; Lepidoptera; Bombycidae. The transcript is spliced from 2 exons.
CGUAAAAAUGGAUUGAUUAUAAAUUAUAAUUUGUGUAAUUACUGUUGGUACUUCGAUCAACAAUAGUAACUAGAUUUCGGGUCGGUGCAUAAAAUCCGUCUCGUCAAAUAACAGCGCACUUGAAAUGUGAGCUCUUAUUUUGUUUAGUUCACUUCAAACACAGCCAAUGUCAACCCGUCUCACAAUACCGCAGUGUGUAUUCAAAAGUUGCAAAAAUAAGGCCCGAAAAAGCAAUUUAACGGCCGGAGUAUCUUACUUUCGCUUUCCUAGCAAUCACGUGUGCAGAAUGGAUCUCGAUUGUCGCCAGAGAAACAAGAGAUGACUUUUAUAAGCCAGCUAAGAACUCCGCUUAUUGACACUGGACAUCUUUGCCUUCCGUGCUCACGGCUACUGAAAUGUGGCCGAAACAUUGUAAUAAAAAUACCACGCUUGAAACCGUUUAAA